GGCCUCUGCCUGACAACCCUGGUCCAUCACGAAGUGAUCCAGCUCGGGGUCCAUCUGUCGAAAGGCUGAUAUUUGUUCCCCGUGACCGUAAAUGCCCAUCAUUUAGGGGUGCUUCAGGAAGCGUUUUUUUCAAGAAAACAGCAAGAGGGAGAGAGUCUACUUGAGUUUUCCAUAGCAUUGAUGCAUCUAAUGGCUCACUCGGGCAUUGCCAUAUGGAACCCGACCGGCGCGUAGCCCUAGUUGUCUCUCCUCUGCAGCUUAUGACCACGGCCCGGUGUGUUCGUGUAGUGUCCUUUACGGCUUAGAUCAAUGGCCACGAGUUUUGGUAUGUAUGAAACCUGAAUGUUGUUGCCGCUUUUGUUGCACAUACGAUAGAUCUGAUGAUUUACUAUUUCCAUUACAGGUCGCAUGGCUUAGCCCCGCUGUCUGUUUAGUGUGGUCAUGCUGCUGUCUUGUCCAUAGCGUUAGUAUAGGUCUAGGCUAAUUUCCUGUGUUUACGCUACAGCUCCUCCGCGUUGCGGUAGGUUUCCUGGGGCGGUUUGUGGUGCUUGCGUGUGCUUGCUUGGGAUUUCCCUGUUAUGUCCGUUUCCUUGUUUUGUUUGCUUGUGCGCUUUCUUUUGGCUUGUGUAUAUCCGUGUGUGCCUCGUUUGUUUUGUUUGGUUUCGGUUGCCGUGUCGCCCCCCCCCCUCUAGAGUAAUGCAUGCGGGUGGGUUGUUUUGUGUGUAGCUUUAUUUUCCUUUGAAUGUUGCAUGCUUGUAUCGCUGCUAGGGUGGUUGCCCAUAAUACCAACAGCUCUCUUCAUUCAUUUACGUAUGAUAUGCGUGUGUGUGUUCGCUGCUGCUUCUUUUGAUCAGUUUAUGCUUUGGCAGGCUAGUGGUUUAUCUUUGGCGGGGGUAGCUAGUCACCUGGUGGUGGGCUUGUGAAAUUCACCCUGGAGUGUAGAACUAUUACUGUGUAUUAAGGAGUAUUGGUGGUGGCUUGCUGUGACAGUGGUGUGACACUUUUCUGCAGUGAGAGUGCACGUGUGGACACCCCCUUCAGAUAGCCUGCUCCCCCCUCCAGGUAAGCCCUACCUGCCGGUAUAAUUUUCUGUUUUCUUUUAGUGUUGCAUUCCCAACCAAUGUUUUAAUAUUAAUUGUUACAACUCAUGUCUAUUUGUGCUGCAAUCACACGCAGUACAGUAAGAACAUAAUAAUAAUAAAAUAUAUUUUUAUAUCUUAACCCAUGCCAGUUCUUUUCAGUACGAGCAUCACAUCACACUCCCUCUCCC
Sardina pilchardus (European sardine) is the source of this 1270-nucleotide long non-coding RNA. RefSeq lists it as uncharacterized. The record is from RefSeq and is a predicted model, not a curated record. NCBI's taxonomy places the organism in Eukaryota, Metazoa, Chordata, Actinopteri, Clupeiformes, Clupeidae. The transcript is spliced from 4 exons.